GUUGUAUUUGGUCUUUAAGAACUUAGCACGUUAAGUGUGAUGCCUCAAAUGGUUUUGGACUAUCAUUGCGAUUUUUAAUUCUAAAUAUUAAAUAAUUGACACAUCAUUUGAAUUUCUAAUUCAAAUCUCUUUCACUUGUGUUUAGCUUUAUUUAUCAAAGUUUGAAGAUAACGAUAAAAUUUUUGCAAUAAAUGCACUCCCAAUUAUUUGUUGAUUCGCUUCAAUUAACUCGAACUCAUUUGCUAUAAGUUAUUUUGAAGCAUUUCUUCCUUCCUCAUAUCCUCCAUAUCAAAAUUUGGUACCACAAAAUAAAUCGAAAACCUUUUUAAUAUUUGCUCGAAGGAUUAAGAGAACAAAUUAGCAAUGGGAAGAUUUAUGAAGAUCGCAUGUACAUGUCGUCGCUAAAUCAUUAUUUGUUACGAAUUGAUCCCCAAACUUAUUUUUUUGGCUUUAUACAGACACAAUGUGAGUUUUUUGUUCUAAAAUAUCACUGAACCAGCUAUUAUAGGUUGAUAGAGACUAAAAGAGCAUGUCUCCUAGUUUAGGGGUCCAUAAAGUCCGACAAAAACUUUAAAGACUAAAUCGAUAAACCUUAGAAAGUUUGUAGGGCAUUUAUUUCAUUUUCCCUUAUAUUAAUUUAACAUUACUAACCAUUUUUGUUCUAAAAUAUUACUGAACCGGCUAUUAUAGGUUGAUAAAGACUAAAAGAGCAUGUCGUCUCCUAGUUUAGGGGUCCAUAAAGCCUGUCAAAAACUUUAAAGACUAAAUCGAUAAACCUUAGAAAGUUUGUAGGGCAUUUAUUUCAUUUUCCCUUAUAUUAAUUUAACAUUACUAACCAUUUUAUAAUAAUAAUUGGAAAGAAAUUGAAAAAUAACGGGAGUUUCAAAUAUAUGUGAAACAAGUAAAAUAAUAUCUUUUAUAAGUAUAUAAAGAUAUAGAACAGAUAAAUAUAGAUAUAAAUAUAAGUAGAAAUAGAUGAUUUACAUAAUCUGUGUAAAAUAAGGAAUUAAUGUGUGUAAAAUAACAAAUUAGUAACUAAUCUCCAUGUAACUAACGACUCAUUCCUCCAAGAGCAGUGGGUGGAAUUUGGACUCCAAUGUUAGUCAUCGUCGACCUAUGGAUAUUUCCUUCCCAACCUAAUAUUUUACAAAAUCAAUGGGAUCAUUCAUUUUUGCUAAAGAGUUGUUUUUAUAGCAACACUAAGCUCGCUCACACAAUCCCAUAUAAAAUGUAAAUCAAGUAUAAAACAAAGUGGUUGGAAUAACAGCCACAUAUAUCAGUAUUUAAGUAUUAUAAAAGAUGAUUACCAAUAGACAAGUCGAAUCCUUGAUGUUGAAGCUCGCGAUACUCUUGACACAAGGCACAUGGUCCACAGCAGAAAUGAACGCAACAAUCAUUACUAGGAACUUCAGGCAAUCCAUAUUGGCGCCUCAUCUUGGUACGAUUAAAGCAAGCAUACAUGCAUCCACAACCGCUUAGAACAUUGAUCAGUGCAUAGAGGGUUCCAUGAAAUCCACAAGCUGUGUAUGAAAAAAAUAAACUAUCAAACUCCAUCAAGAAUCAUCCACAAUAAUUCUUGUUAGACAACUUACACGUUUUGCCGUUGUCUACAAUCUCAGCUAUUUGUCCGAAAGUAACACAAGGGCACCAACAUGUUAUACAACCUGUGGUUUGAGAACUAAAGUAAAGUAAUUAUUCGAUGAAAAAAAUAUACUUACUAAAAUUGGAUCAAAGAGGAGAAUGACCCUUAAUUACUGAAACAUAGUGUUUAUAUGUUUAUGAAUAUUGCGUAGAUUCGAAUCAGUGAUUUACAGUUAGGGAUAUCAAGGCAACAGUCACAAAGUCCACUUGACCAGGAGGUUUGGGACACCAGAGAUGAAGCUGAAACGCCGGCGACAUAUGAUGGUCCUGGUGGUGGUUGACCAUAUACUGGUGAUGGGACUGACGACGGUGUAGACUUUUGGGAAUACAUGACUAUUCAGUCCAAUAGUUAAUGGUACAGUUUGUUUGGGAUUUGAUUAUGAGAAUGAGUCUAUUUACAUAUUAUAUACUUAUGGAGUACAGGAACAUUUAAAGUGUGAAUUGACAUAGCAAAUAAAUAUAUUUUAUCAGUCAAAUUGGAACUAAAUAUUAAUAAAAUUUUGACCAAGUCUAUUUCAGUAAGAAAAUAUCAUUCUCAUCACUUAUGUUAUUUACGAUACCAAACCGCGUACAUGCAGAUACAUGACGCGUAAAUGAUAUUAUAACCCUUGUGUUUUUUUUUUUCAUAACCCUUGUUAUGAUACAAAACUUUAUAUACAAACGUAGAAGCUGGGCAGAAAUUGCGCAUGGAGCCAUGGAUGUCUUUUUAAUUAGUUAGGUCCACAAGAGCAAAAGUACUUAAAGGCUAAUUAUAUGAAAAUAAGCGCAUAAUUUCAUAGAAUUUGCAUAUUUUUUUCUUUCGAAAAUAUGAAGGUAGUCUGCUUAUCUAACUAGGCGUUCCGUGGCUUGUCUUCUUGUAGAAUAUUCAAAGUGGAUUCCCACCAAUCUCAAUCUGUCGAAGGUUGAGGAUAAAUUAAUUUUAAAAAACUGAUCGAAAAUGAGAAAUAUUAGUUGUAUGAUUUUUUUUUUUGGUAUAGCAAAGAAAAUAUAUCAACCACAAACUACACUAGGGAUGUUAAUUGAAUGAAUGUGACAUAUAAGUUUGAAAUUUAAAAGUGGGGAUGCCUGUAGCCUAAAGAAAACAUAAUACACUACAUGACCACACCCGAUAACAAUAACAAGAAUCGAAUCAACACAUGGAAGACCGGUCUGUAAGUAAGUUGCCCGGAAAAAGCAUAAUUCAACGAUCCUAUUUGCAUUGAAAAGGAACAAAGAACUCACUAGUAGGUUGUUUUUUGGUCGAUUUCCCAUUAAGAGGAAAUUAAUAACAGGUCCACUUAAAAUAUCCAGACAACUAGAGUGACAUCUCUAUUUUUACCGUCACAUUAUAACUUUUUUUUUAUGGUUAUUCAUUAAUAUGAAAUUUGGUAACCUAAUAGUAUUUCCGAAAAAAUGUUUCUAUUGAUUUAUUAAGGCUGCGGAUGUCAUAACUAAUAGAAGAAAUAUAAAUAUAAACGGACACUUAUAAUGUCUCAACAUACUAAUGGUUUAUAUUUCAUUGAAUCUCUCAUCAUGUAUGUAACUUUGUAUCGCAACAUGUGAUAUAAAGAAACUGAGUGGGUCAGGUUGAUGAAUACAUAUGAAUUUCAAUCCCACAAUGUUAUAUAUAUAUAUAUAUAUAUAUNNNNNNNNNNNNNNNGAGAGAGAGAGAGAGAGAGAGAGAGAGAAAAGUGAAUAUGUGGUUGUCAUGUAUGUAAUAUUAAGUAUAAAACCAUCAAAUUGACUUUAUUUUGAUUAAUAAAACAUAAUUUUUUUUUUCAUUUUUAGCUUCUUCCUAUUUAUUUUGAGCUCAUAUUAUUUCUAAUUUCAUAAUUCUUCCCCUAUAUCUAUGUAUUUCGAGUGCGUUUUUUAUAUUAGACCUUUAGUAGGCUUCAUAAAUUUCUUUGAUAUUUUAUUUAUGUGUUUUUACGAUUUUACCACUCCCACGUCUGUUUUUCGAAGCUAAUACGCUUCAAAGCUUAUAAGAUUCUGCAGACCCAAAAAUUAAUUUUCUCAAAAUUAUUUUGACAUUGAAUCUUCUAAAUAAAACUUAAUAAGAGCCUUAGAAAAACGUUAUCGUUACGUCUUGGUCAAUGUUGAAACUUCCAAGUUGAUGCUUCGAAAUUCCAAUCAUGUUUGAACAUUAAUAAAUAUUCUUUCAUCUAGCCAUAAAACCAAAUAUCACCAUUUCCAAGAUUCGCCACCAGCAAAUAUCAUGUACCCUUCUCAUCCACAAGACUAUCCUCCACAAUCAUAUUACCAACCACCGGCACCACCAGAAUCGAAUUACCAACCACCGCAGUAUGCCACAGGUAUUCCAGGUCAAUACGUGGUUCCUCAGCCCAUUAACGGGAAAUGGUCCAGCAGCCUUUGUGCCUGCUGCUCGGAUGUACCCAACUGUAAGUCCGUGGUUGGUCACCUUUCUUUUCUGCUCUAGUACAAGUGUACGUAUAUCACAAUGUACAAACAAUUAUGUUUCUUUGUUUUUGUAAACACAGGUUGCUUAACAUGUUGGUGUCCAUGCAUUACUUUUGGACAAAUUGCUGAGAUUGUUGAUAAGGGGAAUACUUGUAAGUGGAUUAAGGCAGGGUUUUCUGAUUUAAAUGUUGAAUUUAAAUUCUAUUGAUUCCAUUUUUUCUUCAACUGUUUUCUUUUUUUUUUUGGUAUAUAUUAGCAACAUAAUUCUCGAUAUUCUUAUAGCUGUAUUUGAUAUACAAGAAUCUUGUGAUAACUACCCCACAUACGAAACCUAGGAUGAAAGUAUAUGAUUACAUUGUCAUGAUUGGAUCAACAGAACAAAAUAUAUUUGAGUGUUAAACAUAAUAAUUGGUAUGUACUACAGCCUGUGGAGUACAUGGAGCUCUUUAUGCAAUAAUUGCAGCAUUCACAUGUUGUGGAUGUUUGUAUUCUUGUAUAUUUCGGAGCAAGAUGAGGAGCCAAUAUGGACUGCAUGAGACUCCUUGCAACGAUUGCCUUGUUCAUGUCUGUUGCGAACCCUGUGCGUUGUGUCAAGAGUAUCGUGAGCUUAAACAUAAUGGAUUUGACAUAUCUAUAGGUAUGCAUUCUCACUUGCGAACAUAUAUAUGUCCAAUAAAACAUUUUAAAUUUUAAAAGUGUAUUACAUAUUAUUAUUUACCAAAGCCCGAUUUAGAGAUUUAUGACUGAUUGCAGGAUGGCAAGGUAACAUGGAGAGACAGAAUUAUGGAGUACAAAUGCCACCUAUGACUCCGGGAGGAAUGUACCGUUAAACUACACAUUCAUCACUUCAUUCACGAAUUAAAGAUAUUUUCCAUGGUGCAUUGAAUUUUAUGUUGGUAAAAAUGAUUCGACAGCAUAAUUGUUUCGUAAAAAACGCUCGCCAAAUUAUUGGUAAAUAUAUUUUCCUUGGUAUUUUGAAUGUUAUCAUAUUGUAAUAACGUGCGUGUAGCUUAAUCGUGAGUUGUAUUUAAUUUUUAUUUUAUAAGUAUUGGUUUCAUAUUGAUAUAUGGGAAUUGUGGUCGGUUUGGAACCUAUUGUCACGUUAAGAAGUUUUCCACUCAUUGGAAAAAUAUUGUGCGGACUAGUUAUAGCAUGGAGGCUCAUGACAUUGAUAUUAACUUAUUCUUAUAAACGUGUGAAAUGGAGCUAAUAGGCCCUCAUUGAUCGAUUAGGUUUCGGGUUAUUAAACAAAGAUCAAUCUUGCAGUUUUGUCUAAUAAUAUAAUAUAAUUAUAGUAAACCUAAUACUAAUAUUAAUGAAAAUGUCUAAUAAUAUAACAUAAUAAUUAUAAUAAACCUAAUAUUAAUGAAAACAUAUAUUUAUAUACUAAAAAACUAAUUAAAAUAAAUCAAAUAAGAUAACAAUAAUAAUCAAAAUAAUAUUAAUAAUUACUAUUAUAUUUACAUUAAUAAUAUUAUCAUAUAAUUAUAUUUAUAUUAAUAAUAAUAUGAAAUUAUAAUUAUUAUAAUAAUAAUAUAAAAUAAAAAUAAUAAUAAUAUUUAAAGAAAGGGGGAAAUGCAAAACAAAAGGAGGGAAAAAGCAAAAAAAAAAAAAAAGUGGGAAACAAUUUUCAGUUCCUGCCAUUAUAUUUCCAACGAAAUUCCAAUAGAAUUGUAAUUUUAUAUAUCAAUUAAUAUUUUGUAGGAAACUUCCAACGCUUUUCCUACAAAAUGUUUUGGAUAUCUACUUCCGUGGAAAUAUGUAGGAAUUUUGUUAGAUUUUGCUUUUGUCGUAAGUUUAUAGGAAAUUCAAUGGAUAUUUUCUACGAAACACUUUGAUAGGAAAUAUUUUGUAGCUAAAACCAAAUAUUCUAGUAGUGGUCAUAGUGGCGAUCUCUUAUUAGUAAAACCCCAAAGGGUUAGGAUUUAGAGUUUAUCUAUAUAUAUUUGUAUUUUCAUUUGAGCAUAAAACAAUAAUAUCAAAGUAAUUUAUUCAACAACAUAUCAUACAAAGUGGCAAAUAGAAUAUUCUAUAUAUAAUACGGUUUUAAUGAAUUCGGCAUUUCAUUAUCAGAUGCGCCUUUUAAAAAAUAUAUAUAAUACAUCUUUUAUAUAAUCAACCGUAUAUGCUUAGUCACAUGUCAUAUAGACUACAGUUCCUAUUAAAAAGGUGUAUUUAUAUUUAUUAUAAAAAACAGGCGGCAAAUUUGCUGCAAAUCUCGAUUUUUUUGGAGAAAAACCCUCGACGAUCUCAGAUGCGCACCACGUAGUCCACUUUUUUUCGUGAAACCCCUCUGGUAUCUGAGACCAUGUAUGGCGAUAUCGAUCAGAACCCCACCACCAACGGAUCAUCACUCCCUCUCUAGCAUCGCUUCCAUCCAAGAGACCAAGAGCUGAUAAGUUUAUAUAUUUUAUUUCAAUGGGUUGUUUUUGCAUACAAAUUAAAACUACACUGAUUGAAUGCGAUUGUAUUUGAAGCUGGUAAGUAUAUAUUACAAUAAAAUGUUUUUUACAUCUUUAUAUUACAGGAUGUUAUUGCAAUAAAAAGUCUGGAUGGGUUAGCUGGAAUUUAUCUAACACACAACUUUUCUAAACCACAUAAGUUGGUAAGUUUUGCUCUCUUCCCACUUUACAUGAUCUCUUCUCUACAUGAUUCCUUAUUACUUAUAUGCUUCACGAUUUUUAUAAGUAUCUUCUUAAAUACAUAAAGGAACGUAAAGUAAUAGAGAUUUUUCAGAAACAAGUGGGUGUGGGUGAUCAAUUAAAUGCGACAAAUUAUUUGAUUUAAUCAUUUUUAGUACUUUAUGAACACUUGUUUUCGUAUAGACCGACAAAGAAAACAUGUUUGCUUGGUGAAGAGUUUCACACAUUGGAUAUUUAUGUGACUACAUACUUCAUCGGGGUAAUUUUAUAACUAUAGUUCAAUACUUCAGGGAAUAUGCUUCCUGAACAGGUUUGCCCACCGGGAUGAUUUGACGUUUAUCGUAUUUUAUAAACAUUUGUAAAGUGUUUUACUUGGAAAACAAAAAACAUGGUGGAUAAAUGGUUCCUAUCAAUAUCAUAAUAGUGUAUGUUUGCUUACAUAAUACUAUUAUUUUUUCCCAGUACUUGUAAACUGGAUGACCAUGCUUUCAAAGAAAGUAUUGCGCACUCCUAUCACAAGGUCUAAUCUCAGUUUAUCUUGGAAAGGUCAGUAUUAACAUAACUAACAUGAUGUGCUCCUUUUCCAUAAUCCAUGUCCUUUGAUAGAGUUAUUUGUCAUGAUUACUAGACACUACCGAAAUAUGUAACAUGUAAUGUUGAAUGUAAUUACAAAUAUCAAGAUCUUGAUUCUUCAAUAUGCAGCACCCUUUCAUUUGUUAUCUUCCAUUGCAAUCCUUAAUGCACAAAUUUAGAUUUCGACAUACCCC
RNAcentral lists this long non-coding RNA (7447 nucleotides) under Lactuca sativa (garden lettuce). Its description in RNAcentral is "long non-coding RNA (LSAT_LNC008060)". The record is from RNAcentral. Lineage: Eukaryota; Viridiplantae; Streptophyta; Magnoliopsida; Asterales; Asteraceae.